Acanthosepion pharaonis is the source of this 114-nucleotide non-coding RNA. The record is from the annotation of a GenBank genome assembly. Lineage: Eukaryota; Metazoa; Mollusca; Cephalopoda; Sepiida; Sepiidae.
UUACGGCUAUAUCAAGUUGAAACAACUGUUCCCGUACGAUUACCGAAGUUAAGCAACGCUCAACCCGGUCAGUGCCUAGAUGAGUGACUGCUUGGGAAUACCAAGUGCUGUAAG